GGGGGGAGGCCGGAUCCUGGGCUGUGUCCCGGCGCCCUGUGCUCCGGAGCCUGCGCUGAUGGAUUCGCGCUCCCGGGCCGCGCAACCCCCU
RNAcentral lists this microRNA precursor (91 nucleotides) under Canis lupus familiaris (dog). Its description in RNAcentral is "mir-8799 microRNA precursor family". It matches the Rfam family "mir-8799 microRNA precursor family". Lineage: Eukaryota; Metazoa; Chordata; Mammalia; Carnivora; Canidae. The record is from Rfam by way of RNAcentral. RNAcentral also lists the same sequence under 1 other name.